This 237-nucleotide ribosomal RNA is filed under the name Staphylococcus aureus. RNAcentral describes it as "partial 16S ribosomal RNA". It matches the Rfam family "Bacterial small subunit ribosomal RNA", at positions 1 to 226 of the family's 1533-position model. Lineage: Bacteria; Bacillati; Bacillota; Bacilli; Caryophanales; Staphylococcaceae. The record is from RNAcentral.
UUUUAUGGAGAGUUUGAUCCUGGCUCAGGAUGAACGCUGGCGGCGUGCCUAAUACAUGCAAGUCGAGCGAACGGACGAGAAGCUUGCUUCUCUGAUGUUAGCGGCGGACGGGUGAGUAACACGUGGAUAACCUACCUAUAAGACUGGGAUAACUUCGGGAAACCGGAGCUAAUACCGGAUAAUAUUUUGAACCGCAUGGUUCAAAAGUGAAAGACGGUCUUGCUGUCACUUAUAGAU